Molecule: ribosomal RNA, 469 nt
Filed under: uncultured bacterium
Lineage: Bacteria
Description: partial 16S ribosomal RNA
Rfam family: Bacterial small subunit ribosomal RNA
Source: RNAcentral
GACGAACGCUGGCGGCGUGCUUAACACAUGCAAGUCGAACGGUAAGGCCCUGCUUGCAGGGUGCUCGAGUGGCGAACGGGUGAGUAACACGUGGGUGAUCUGCCCCUUACUUUGGGAUAAGCCUGGGAAACUGGGUCUAAUACUGGAUAGGACCAUGCUGUAGGUGGUGUGGUGGAAAGAUUAGUUUCGGUAAGGGAUGAGCUCGCGGCCUAUCAGCUUGUUGGUGGGGUAAUGGCCUACCAAGGCGUCGACGGGUAGCCGGCCUGAGAGGGUGGACGGCCACAUUGGGACUGAGAUACGGCCCAGACUCCUACGGGAGGCAGCAGUGGGGAAUAUUGCACAAUGGGCGCAAGCCUGAUGCAGCGACGCCGCGUGGGGGAUGACGGCCUUCGGGUUGUAAACUCCUUUCAGCCAUGACGAAGCCCUUGUGGUGACGGUAGUGGUAGAAGAAGCACCGGCUAACUACGUG